Molecule: ribosomal RNA, 497 nt
Filed under: uncultured Sphingobacteriales bacterium
Lineage: Bacteria; Pseudomonadati; Bacteroidota; Sphingobacteriia; Sphingobacteriales
Description: bacterial SSU rRNA
Rfam family: Bacterial small subunit ribosomal RNA
Source: RNAcentral
CCAGCCCGCUCAGAAACUCAAAGGAAGUUGACGGGGCCCGCACAAGCGGUGGAGCAUGUGGUUUAAUUCGAUGAUACGCGAGGAACCUUACCUGGGCUCGAACGUAAGAUGACUGUAGGUGAAAGCUUACAUCUCUUCGGAGCAUUUUACGAGGUGCUGCAUGGUUGUCGUCAGCUCGUGCCGUGAGGUGUCGGGUUAAGUCCCAUAACGAGCGCAACCCUACCUUUAGUUGCCAUCAGGUAAUGCUGGGGACUCUAAAGGAACUGCCUACGCAAGUAGUGAGGAAGGCGGGGAUGACGUCAAAUCAGCACGGCCCUUACGUCCAGGGCUACACACGUGCUACAAUGGCCGAUACAGAGGGCAGCUACCUGGUGACAGGAUGCAAAUCUCCAAAGUCGGUCUCAGUUCGGAUCGGAGUCUGCAACCCGACUCCGUGAAGUUGGAUUCGCUAGUAAUCGCGCAUCAGCCAUGGCGCGGUGAAUACGUUCCCGGGCCUU